GCGGGGGUGCCCGAGCUAGGUCAAAGGGGGCGGUUCGGCUCCGCUGGCGUAGGCCUGCCCGGGUUCGAAUCCCGGCCCCCGCACCA
Molecule: transfer RNA, 86 nt
Filed under: Thermofilum sp.
Lineage: Archaea; Thermoproteati; Thermoproteota; Thermoprotei; Thermofilales; Thermofilaceae
Description: tRNA-Pro
Rfam family: tRNA
About the family: Transfer RNA (tRNA) molecules are approximately 80 nucleotides in length. Their secondary structure includes four short double-helical elements and three loops (D, anti-codon, and T loops).
Source: RNAcentral